Molecule: long non-coding RNA, 679 nt
Organism: Hipposideros armiger (great roundleaf bat)
Lineage: Eukaryota; Metazoa; Chordata; Mammalia; Chiroptera; Hipposideridae
Exons: 2
Source: RefSeq, a predicted model, not a curated record
AUUUCACAUAUGUCUUUUAGGUGAAUGAGACAGAAGGGGACUUCGCCAAGCAAUCAUUGUUCGUUCGACACCCUGAGAUGAAAGCCUGGCCUUCCAGCCAUAAUUGGUUCGUUGCUAAGUUGAAUAUAACCAAUAUCUGGCUCCUGGACUACUUCGGUGGACCAAAAAUAGUGACGCCCGAAGAAUAUUAUAAUGCCACAUUUCAGUGAAGCAGGCAUUGGCGAAUUUAACCACACGGGUGCAGUUUUAGGCAGUUUUCCACGACUGGAAGAGCUUCAGGCUUCUCUGUGGAAAGUGUCCCAGAAGAUCAGCCCGUAUGCCCUCACCCGCUGGCUGGCUGACUGGCUUGCUUGUUUACAGAAUCAAAUUGGACUGUUACUGGAUUUCUUGGAAGAUGAGGUUGCCAAAUUUUAUACAUUUAAAUUUAUAGUUUUAUUACCUACAUAUAUGAUUUCGGAAGACUAUAUAAGAUUCCUCGUAAAGAGGCGUGUCAGGAAUCCAGCCACUGAACCCUUCCAUGGCUCAGAGAAAGGAGUUACAGAAUAUAUGUCGUGUUUGAAAAUGAACUUAACCCAAAUCCAGCAAACAGCUUCUGUUUAAGAAAAAUGAUUCCCAUGAAACUUGGUAACAUAGGCUUCUUUUUCAAAGCAUCCGUAAUUAAAAGCAUUGUUUUAAUGAA